UACGAAGGGGGCUAGCGUUGUUCGGAAUCACUGGGCGUAAAGGGCGCGUAGGCGGCUUUAUAAGUCGGUGGUGAAAGCGCCCGGCUCAACUGGGCGAGGUCCAUGGAAACUGGUCAGCUGGAGGACGGUAGAGGCGAGUGGAAUUCCCGGUGUAGUGGUGAAAUGCGUAGAGAUCGGGAGGAACACCUGUGGCGAAGGCGGCUCGCUGGGCCGGUCCUGACGCUGAAACGCGAAGGCGUGGGGAGCGAACGGG
RNAcentral lists this ribosomal RNA (253 nucleotides) under uncultured bacterium. RNAcentral describes it as "partial 16S ribosomal RNA". It matches the Rfam family "Bacterial small subunit ribosomal RNA", at positions 524 to 776 of the family's 1533-position model. The record is from RNAcentral.